Molecule: transfer RNA, 137 nt
Organism: Puccinia sorghi
Lineage: Eukaryota; Fungi; Basidiomycota; Pucciniomycetes; Pucciniales; Pucciniaceae
Rfam family: tRNA
About the family: Transfer RNA (tRNA) molecules are approximately 80 nucleotides in length. Their secondary structure includes four short double-helical elements and three loops (D, anti-codon, and T loops). Further hydrogen bonds mediate the characteristic L-shaped molecular structure. tRNAs have two regions of fundamental functional importance: the anti-codon, which is responsible for specific mRNA codon recognition, and the 3' end, to which the tRNAs corresponding amino acid is attached (by aminoacyl-tRNA synthetases). tRNAs cope with the degeneracy of the genetic code in two manners: having more than one tRNA (with a specific anti-codon) for a particular amino acid; and 'wobble' base-pairing, i.e. permitting non-standard base-pairing at the 3rd anti-codon position.
Source: Rfam
GCCCGGUUAGCUCAGUCGGUAGAGCAUUCGGCUUUUACGUACCUCGCUGGUCCUCGGAGCCCCCUGCAUGCAGGAUUGGGGUCUCCAGUGAAGUGACGGACACCGAAAUGUCGGGGGUUCGAGCCCCCCAUUGGGCG